UCCCGUUUGACACGGGCAGUCCCUCUAGAGUGCCCAACUAAAUGAUGGCAACUAGAGGCAAGGGUUGCGCUCGUUGCGGGACUUAACCCAACACCUCACGGCACGAGCUGACGACAGCCAUGCAGCACCUGAGCAGGAUGGUAUUGCUACCUCGUUGGGCUUUCACCCUUCUACUACCUGCAUGUCCAGCCUGGGUAAGGUUCUUCGCGUUGCGUCGAAUUAAACCACAUGCUCCACCGCUUGUGCGGGCCCCCGUCAAUUCCUUUGAGUUUCAGUCUUGCGACCGUACUCCCCAGGCGGCGAACUUAACGCGUUAGCUUCGAUACUGGGCACCAAGUUGUGCCCAACAUCCAGUUCGCAUCGUUUAGGGCUAGGACUAC
This 380-nucleotide unclassified non-coding RNA is filed under the name uncultured bacterium. Its description in RNAcentral is "contains 16S-23S intergenic spacer region". The record is from RNAcentral.